Molecule: ribosomal RNA, 466 nt
Filed under: uncultured bacterium
Lineage: Bacteria
Description: partial 16S ribosomal RNA
Rfam family: Bacterial small subunit ribosomal RNA
Source: RNAcentral
GAUGAACGCUGGCGGCGUGCUUAACACAUGCAAGUCGAACGAUGAAGCCCAGCUUGCUGGGUGGAUUAGUGGCGAACGGGUGAGUAACACGUGAGUAACCUGCCCUUGACUCUGGGAUAAGCCUGGGAAACUGGGUCUAAUACUGGAUAUGACUUCUCAUCGCAUGGUGGGGGGUGGAAAGAUUUAUUGGUCUUGGAUGGACUCGCGGCCUAUCAGCUUGUUGGUGAGGUAAUGGCUCACCAAGGCGACGACGGGUAGCCGGCCUGAGAGGGUGACCGGCCACACUGGGACUGAGACACGGCCCAGACUCCUACGGGAGGCAGCAGUGGGGAAUAUUGCACAAUGGGCGCAAGCCUGAUGCAGCGACGCCGCGUGAGGGAAGACGGCCUUCGGGUUGUAAACCUCUUUCAGUAGGGAAGAAGCGAGAGUGACGGUACCUGCAGAAGAAGCGCCGGCUAACUACGUG